UACGAGGGAUGCAAGCGUUAUCCGGAAUUAUUGGGCGUAAAGCGUCCGCAGGUGGCUCUGUAAGUCUGUCGUUAAAGCGUGGAGCUUAACUCCAUAUCGGCGAUGGAAACUACAAGGCUAGAGUUUGGUAGGGGUCACGGGAAUUCUUAGUGUAGCGGUGAAAUGCGUAGAUAUUAAGAAGAACACCAGCGGCGAAAGCGCGUGACUGGGCCAAUACUGACACUCAUGGACGAAAGCUAGGGGAGCGAAAGGG
Molecule: ribosomal RNA, 253 nt
Filed under: uncultured bacterium
Lineage: Bacteria
Description: partial 16S ribosomal RNA
Rfam family: Bacterial small subunit ribosomal RNA
Source: RNAcentral